CCUACGGGAGGCAGCAGUGAGGAAUAUUGGUCAAUGGACGAGAGUCUGAACCAGCCAAGUAGCGUGAAGGAUGACUGCCCUAUGGGUUGUAAACUUCUUUUAUAAAGGAAUAAAACGAGGCACGUGUGCCUUUUUGCAUGUACUUUAUGAAUGAGGAUCGGCUAACUCCGUGCCAGCCGCCGCGGUAAUACGGAGGAUCCGAGCGUUAUCCGGAUUUAUUGGGUUUAAAGGGAGCGUAGAUGGGUUGUUAAGUCAGUUGUGAAAGUUUGCGGCUCAACCGUAAAAUUGCAAUUGAUACUGGCAGUCUUGAGUACAGUUGAGGUAGGCGGAAUUCGUGGUGUAGCGGUGAAAUGCUUAGAUAUCACGAAGAACCCCGAUUGCGAAGGCAGCUUACUAAACUGUGACUAACAUUGAUGCUCGAAAGUGUGGGUAUCAAACAGGAUUAGAUACCCGGGUAGUC
Molecule: ribosomal RNA, 460 nt
Filed under: uncultured bacterium
Lineage: Bacteria
Description: partial 16S ribosomal RNA
Rfam family: Bacterial small subunit ribosomal RNA
Source: RNAcentral